RNAcentral lists this ribosomal RNA (253 nucleotides) under uncultured bacterium. RNAcentral's name for it is "partial 16S ribosomal RNA". It matches the Rfam family "Bacterial small subunit ribosomal RNA", at positions 524 to 776 of the family's 1533-position model. The record is from RNAcentral.
UACGUAGGGCGCAAGCGUUGUCCGGAAUUAUUGGGCGUAAAGAGCUCGUAGGCGGUUUGUCGCGUCUGCUGUGAAAACUCGAGGCUCAACCUCGGGCUUGCAGUGGGUACGGGCAGACUAGAGUGCGGUAGGGGUGACUGGAAUUCCUGGUGUAGCGGUGAAAUGCGUAGAUAUCGAGAGGAACACCUGCGGCGAAGGCGGGUUGCUGGGCUGACACUGACGCUGAAGCGCGAAAGCUAGGGGAGCGAACGGG